GUAUAUUAAAGUUGUUGCAGUUAAAAAGCUCGUAGUCGGAUUUUGGCAUCACGCCGCACUGUCUGCCGAUUGGUAAGUACGGUUUGGCGGGUGCUUCCUUCCGGUGCUGCGUUCUGCUCUUAGUUGAGCGGUUCGUUGGUUCCGGUUCUUUUACUUUGAGAAAAUUAGAGUGUUCAAAGCAGGCCUAUGCUCUGAAUAGGUUAGCAUGGAAUAAUAGAAUAGGACUUUGGUUCUAUUUUGUUGGUUUCUAGGACCGAAGUAAUGAUAAAUAGGGACAGUUGGGGGCAUUCAUAUUCCAUUGUCAGAGGUGAAAUUCUUGGAUUAACGGAAGAUGAACUUCUGCGAAAGCAUCUGCCAAGGAUGUUUUCAUUGAUCAAGAACGAAAGUUAGGGGAUCAAAGACGAUCAGAUACCGUCGUAGUCUUAACCAUAAACUAUGCCGACUAGGGAUGUGGAGGCGUUAACUUUGUACGACCCUCCAUGCACCUUAUGAGAAAUCAAAGUCUAUGGGUUCCGGGGGGAGUAUGGUCGCAAGGCUGAAACUUAA
Molecule: ribosomal RNA, 546 nt
Filed under: uncultured eukaryote
Lineage: Eukaryota
Description: SSU rRNA
Rfam family: Eukaryotic small subunit ribosomal RNA
Source: RNAcentral